This 253-nucleotide ribosomal RNA is filed under the name uncultured bacterium. RNAcentral's name for it is "partial 16S ribosomal RNA". It matches the Rfam family "Bacterial small subunit ribosomal RNA", at positions 524 to 776 of the family's 1533-position model. The record is from RNAcentral.
UACGAGGGGGGCGAGCGUUGUUCGGAAUUAUUGGGCGUAAAGGGUGCGUAGGCGGUUUGGUAAGUCUGAUGUGAAAUCUAUGGGCUCAACUCAUAGUCUGCAUCGGAAACUGCCGGGCUUGAGUAUGGGAGAGGUGAGUGGAAUUCCUGGUGUAGCGGUGAAAUGCGUAGAUAUCAGGAGGAACACCAGUGGCGAAGGCGACUUCCUGGCCUGUUCUUGACGCUGAGGCGCGAAAGCUAGGGGAGCAAACGGG